Molecule: long non-coding RNA, 512 nt
Filed under: Brassica napus (rape)
Lineage: Eukaryota; Viridiplantae; Streptophyta; Magnoliopsida; Brassicales; Brassicaceae
Description: long non-coding RNA (BNAP_LNC019133)
Source: RNAcentral
CUCAAAAUAACUAGAACUGCUCAUUUGGUGAUUCUGUAAAGAUGUAUAUAUGCAUCCCAUCUUAGAUUUGGUCCUCUCCAUACACAUGAUUUAAUAAUUUUAUGUAUCCCGCACAUCUAAAAUAAUAUUCGAGCAACCAAAUGUACCUUAAACCUAUAUCAAUUAUUCAUCAACUUUAUGUGUACUUCCAUACUUCUCUUUACAAAGGGAGUCGAAGUCGAAGACCGCAUUGUGUUUCAAAACAUAAUCCUAAGUUGCAUUGUUUAUAAGAAUCGAACCUCCUUGAGUUUUCAAAACAUAAUCCCAAGACGCAUUAUUUAGGAACGCAUUGAUUUUUUAUACAUAUAACAUUUUCACCCGCUAACAAUUUUUUGCUUCAACAUACGGUAAUGAUUCAUCCUCGUCAAAUUGUACGAGUACAUUUCAAUUCCUGAGAUAACAGUUGAUCCUUGAACUGAAAUUUUCUACUUCUAAUCUUCUUAUGUUGGUUCCAUCUUGAUUAAACCCAUCAA